UGAAGUGACGAUAUAAACGCUGUGCACCAGUCCGAGUGAACUAUUUUUGUACUCUUCACGUUGAAGACCCAGUAUACCCAAAUUUCUGAUC
RNAcentral lists this small nucleolar RNA (91 nucleotides) under Pachysolen tannophilus NRRL Y-2460. The record is from RNAcentral. Lineage: Eukaryota; Fungi; Ascomycota; Pichiomycetes; Alaninales; Pachysolenaceae.